ACCCAUCCCCACCAACGUCAACCUAAAGAAGGAAAGGCCGGUUUGCAUUUUCUUCUCGCUCGAAGGUCACGGAGAUCAUUACAUGAACGGCGGAGAGGUUGGGUGAGGACGACACGUGUUUCAUCAUUAUCAAAUAGGUACGCAAGGCUUAAGAUGUGGAUCAGGAUGAGAAAAAAAUCGUAUAUAAGGAGAGAGAAAAGGCGAAAGAAAUUAGUCGAGUGAGCACCUCCGACACGGCAACAACCGUAGCCCACUGUCUGUCACCAACUGCAUCCAUCUCAUCGUAUAACCAAUUCGCUAUCAUGGUUAUAUAAAAGGAGAGAAAAGGCGAAAGAAUCAGUCAAGUGAUUAUCUCCGACACGAUAGCAACUGCCCAGCACUAUUUGUCAUCAACUACAUUCUUCGUCGUAUCACCAGUUUGUAAUCAUAGUAAACUAUGGCUGUCGUGCUGCUGUUUAUUGUUAUCCUCAAAUACCACACCUUCGAGCCUCCAGAAUAUUACACUACAACUUAUGCUGCCCUGAGCUGAAUCACCAAAGUGCCUGAGUACUACACCAUGGCUCCCACUCGAGUACUACACCACCAAGUAACCAAAGUACUAUACGACCAAAGUAUAGUACGACUGUGUGUGCUGCCCCAACCUGCUAAACUGCGACCCCAAGUAUUACUCUGCUUCAGUUACUACACCGAGGUUCCAACUUACUAUACCACACCACACCAAGGCUACAGAAUAUUACACCACAACUUAUGCUGCCCAAGCUACUACACCGCAGCCCAGAAUAAUUAUUCUGCCUCAAGCCAUUUACUUCUGCCCCAGCGAUUACUUCACUAAGGCCCUGGAGUACUACACCACAACCUUCGUUGCCCCAGCUUAUUACAUCGUGGCUCUCAAGUACUACACCACCAAGGCAUCUGAGUACUACACCACCGCGUGUGCUGCAUCAACCUACUACACCGAGACUUCCAAGUAUUACUCUGCUUCAGUUACUACACCGAGACUUCAGUUUACUACACCACAACCUAUGCUUCAUCUAACUACUUCAUCGAAGCCCCCAAGUACUACAUCGAAAAGGUCGAAUAUUACAUAACCACGUACGCUGCUCCAGUUAACUACAUAGAGGAACCUAAUCGAUCAAAGGAGAGAAAAGCGAAAGAAAUCAGCCGAUCUUCAACACGGCAACAGCAAAUGCAGUGCACUAUCUGUCAUCAACUGCCUUCUUUGUCGUAUCACCAGUUCGCAAUCAUGGCGUUGUCUAGUAAACUAUGGCGUCGUGUUGCUGUUGGGUGUUGUAUCGUAAAUGGCUGGAUCGACCAUGGGUGUACUGAUGUUUCCUGAGUAUGGUGGAUACCAAUAGCAGCGAAAGAAUAGUACUACACGUCGCCGCACAACGUCAACAUACGCAACACCACUUACUACAACACUGAGGCUCCUAAGUACUACACCACCAAGGCUCCAGAGUACAACACGAAAAUUAUGCUGCCCCGACCUUCUACAUCGAAGUAUUACUCUGCCCCGAGUCACAUCACGAAAGCGCCCGAGUAAUUUUAAGUUAUACACCACCAAAUCUCCAAGCUUUUACACCGAGGCUCCAGCUUAAUACACCACCAAAGCGGUUGAAUACUACACCGUAGCGUCUAAGUACUACCAUGCAACCUACUGUAGCGCGCUAUUUGUCACCAACUGUGACAUUUCAUCGUAUUAAAUAGGGUUUUAAUCCUUGGCUGUGUUGAUCACUGGUGUAUCGAUGUCUCCUGGAUAUGGCGGAUACCGAAACAGCACCGCCGCCUUACUACACAACAACAACAAAUGCAACAAUCGGUUACUACGCCACCAAGAUUGAAAGUAUUGCACCGAAACUUAUGGUAACAAGAGCCCACUGCAACCCCGAAGUAUUCUCUGCCCGAGCUAUAUCACCAAAGAGUCAGUUUCUACACUGAAGUUUCCAUGUAUUACACCACUAAAGCACCGGAAUACUAGAAGACUACGGAUGCUGUCCUUGCUUACUACACCAAGGCCCCUAAUUACUACAACACCGAAACUAACACACCGACGCCCCGAAAUAUUACUCUGCGUAAAAGGAGUCUAAAAAGGAAGAAACUGCGGCGGACUAUUUGUUACCAACUGGAUUGCUCAUCGUUGAACCAGUUUCCAGUUAUGGGUACUGCACCGACGUUUCAACUUAUUACACCACUAAAGCGGUCGAGUACUAUACCGAAACGCCCCAAAACUACACCACCAAGGCUACAGAAUAUUACACUGCAACUACACUGCAACUUAUGCUGCCCGAGUUAUUACACCGCAUCCCAGAAGUAUUAUUCUGCCCCGAGCCCGAGGAUUUCACUAAGGCCCUGGAGUACUAAACUACAACCUACGUUGCCCAGGCUUACUACACGGUGGCUCCCAAAUACUACUCCACCAAGGCUUCAACUUACUACACCACCAAAGCGGCUGAAUACUACGCCGAAGCGCCCAAGUACUACUCUGUCCUGAGCUACACAACCACAACUGAGCCGUCGGAGUACUUCGUAGCUCCGGAUGACUUCACAGCUGCUCCUUGGACUACAUUGUACUAAAAUACUACACCUAGCCUCCAGUUCGCUACAUCACAACUUAUGCUACAUCGAACUACUACACAGAAGUCUUAUAGCACCUGAAAAGGUGGAAUAUUACCCAAUCACGUAGGCACGUACGCUGCUCCAGUAUACUACACCGAGGAACUCGAUAAAAGGAGAAAGAAAGGCGAUUGAAACAGUUGAAUGAUUAUUUCCAACACGGCAACAUAAAUGCAGUUCACUAUUGAUAAGCAACUUCAUUCUUCGUCGUAUCAUCAGUUUGCAAUUAUAAAAUGGCUUCGUGCUGCAGUUGGGGUUUUGAAUCGGUGAUGGCUGGCUCGACCACUGGUGUAACGAUGUCUCCUGGGUAUGGCGGUUCGACACGACAACAACUGCUGUGCACUAUUUCUUACAAUCUGCAUUCUUCUUCGUAUCACCACUUCGAAAUCAUGGUGUAUCGAUGUUUCCUGGGAAUGGUGAAUAUCAAGCAACAGGAGUGAAAAAAUAGUACAACACAUCGCCGGAUUACCACGCAACAUCUAGAUACGCAACACUACUUACUACACUAAGAGAUUACAAAGUGCUACACCACCAAGGCUUCAAAGUACAAUACGAAAUCUUACUCUGGCACGAGUCACAUUACGUAAGCACCUGAGUACUUAACUAAGACUUCCAAAUUGUACACCUUCAGAAUUUUAAAGUGCAAACUUUUACGUUUAACUACAAUUACGCUUUUCCAAACUACUAUUCAGAUCAUAAUUACUACACAGAUUCUCCGGCUUAUUAUACCAGCAAAGCGUUCAAAUAUUAUACUAAAAUCUA
This 3375-nucleotide long non-coding RNA is filed under the name Daphnia pulex (common water flea). RNAcentral's name for it is "uncharacterized LOC124190104". Lineage: Eukaryota; Metazoa; Arthropoda; Branchiopoda; Diplostraca; Daphniidae. The record is from RNAcentral.